UACGAAGGGUGCAAGCGUUACUCGGAAUUACUGGGCGUAAAGCGUGCGUAGGUGGUGAGUUAAGUCUGUCGUGAAAGCCCCGGGCUCAACCUGGGAAUGGCGAUGGAUACUGGCUCGCUAGAGUGCGGUAGAGGAGAGUGGAAUUCCCGGUGUAGCAGUGAAAUGCGUAGAGAUCGGGAGGAACAUCAGUUGCGAAGGCGGCUCUCUGGACCAGCACUGACACUGAGGCACGAAAGCGUGGGGAGCGAAUGGG
Molecule: ribosomal RNA, 253 nt
Filed under: uncultured bacterium
Lineage: Bacteria
Description: partial 16S ribosomal RNA
Rfam family: Bacterial small subunit ribosomal RNA
Source: RNAcentral